CAGCCGCCGCGGGAAUACGAAGGGUGCAAGCGUUAAUCGGAAUUACUGGGCGUAAAGCGUGCGUAGGCGGUGAGUUAAGUCUGCUGUGAAAUCCCCGGGCUCAACCUGGGAAUGGCAGUGGAUACUGGCUCGCUAGAGUGUGUCAGAGGAUGGUGGAAUUCCGCGUGUAGCAGUGAAAUGCGUAGAUAUGCGGAGGAACACCGAUGGCGAAGGCAGCCCCCUGGGCCAACACUGACGCUCAUGCACGAAAGCGUGGGGAGCAAACAGGAUUAGAUACCCCCGUAGUCCCUGUCUCUUAUAC
This 301-nucleotide ribosomal RNA is filed under the name uncultured bacterium. RNAcentral describes it as "partial 16S ribosomal RNA". It matches the Rfam family "Bacterial small subunit ribosomal RNA", at positions 509 to 807 of the family's 1533-position model. The record is from RNAcentral.